CAAGGCCAGGCACCCAGAGGUGGUCAAUAAAUGUAACAUGUGGCCAGAUUCAGAACAGGUCAUUACUCUGGAAAACAAGCAAAACUAAACAGCCCUCCACGGAAAUAGCUGGCUGUGGCUUCAGGGAGCUACACUUCCAAAAGCAACUGAAAACCUCAGCAUCAAGCCAUGAAGCUCUGGAGGCCGCAGAACUCGCAAUGCAGCUCUAGGGUUCUGCAGGCCUCCUCAGGCGGACACGAUCAGUGCGUGCUGAGCACUCUGCGAGCUCCACACACUGUCCGCGUCACGGCACCGUCCUCAGGCGUCCAGAGUAACAGAACAUCCCUCUCGUGGUUGACGGGGAGAGGACUGGCCUGGGCGGUGUGAUUCUUCCUGAAAACCUGGGCUGACUGUCUGCAAACCAACAUCCUGGUUGCCACAGCUCUGUCGGUUUCAUUUCUCGCUCUUCAAGGCAGACUUCAGUGUCUCCAUAACCCUGAGCCUGGUGAACAGCAGAGUCUACUUCCAGGGAAAGAAAACCUGACAGAGAAACACUCUGCCUCUAAGGGGUGGAGUCAGGCACACUCCUCUUUGUACUUCAUGGGGUCAGCUACAGUCUGACGUGACCACCGCUCAAAGUCCACGAGUAUCUUGGUCUGACUCGGGAAGCUGGCCGAGAGCACUCCGCUCGCUGCUCAUCAGUAUUCACAGAUGCUGCCUUUGCAGAUCCUGGCUUCCCAGGUCUCAGUCCCUCCUUUAUCACCUUGCCUCCCACAGCUUCUAUGUAUUCUCUGUCCCAUCAUUUCUCACUCUUGUACUGUAAACUGACUUCCAUUUAUUUACUCCUGAAGCCUAUUCUUACCUCAGGGUCUGUAUGCCUCUGUGCUUGCAGCCCAUCUGCCUAGGUGUCUGCAGUGUUUGCCUACUCCUUUCAAAGAGGUCUCUGCCAAAAUGUUACCUCUCCCAAGAGGCCUUUCUUGGCUGUAUCUAAAAUAAUUUCAAGUGAUCUCCCUUCCUUUCAGUACCUAGUUACUGAGUGCUAACUACAUGCUAGGUACUAAAGGCAUAGUGUCUGUAUUCUGAGAGUCAAUAUUAUAGGGAGGAAAAACGGAUGCAUACGGGUAAAGACACACACACACACACACACACACACACACACACACACACACACACCCCAAAUAAAUGUCAUUGCAAACAAGUACCAGACGAAAAAUGGAUGUAGAAAU
This is a long non-coding RNA of Chinchilla lanigera (long-tailed chinchilla), 1205 nucleotides long. RefSeq lists it as uncharacterized. NCBI's taxonomy places the organism in Eukaryota, Metazoa, Chordata, Mammalia, Rodentia, Chinchillidae. The transcript is spliced from 3 exons. The record is from RefSeq and is a predicted model, not a curated record.